This 531-nucleotide long non-coding RNA is filed under the name Citrus sinensis (sweet orange). RNAcentral's name for it is "long non-coding RNA (CSIN_LNC005685)". The record is from RNAcentral. Lineage: Eukaryota; Viridiplantae; Streptophyta; Magnoliopsida; Sapindales; Rutaceae.
AAGAGCCGUUAUAUAAUGCCAAAAAAAAGUGAAAAUUAAUGAGGCAUUUAAGGUUAGUUUAGUAAAGUUAUACAUUUGGCAUUUAGUUAUAAAAUUCAAAAUUUAAAACUGUGGGGGAUUUUUGUCGCUGAGAAAACUGAUUUGACACGUAAUCGGUGGGUUCAAUACUUCAAUUUCUCGAGUGAGUUGUUGUUUACUAUAUUUAUAAGAGCCAAAAAUCCGUCUUACACGUGGAAAUUUCUCAUUUAAAAAAAAAAUUAAAAAAAAGGUUGCGUUAUUUGAGAGAGCUUGAAUAGAAAGCUGAGCCUGAAAGCGAGGUGCGUGAAUCUGAGGCGAAAAAAGAUCAGACGGUCAGAAGAGGGUGUGGAAAAAAGAAGAAAGAGAAAAAGUAAUCAAAUCUAAUGGCUGAGAGAGUUGCGUCGGCAUAAAGCCACGCUGAAACCUCAAAUUGAAAAAGCCCAUAUAAGCCCGAGCUCAUCACCGUCUACUCCGUCUCUCUCUCUCUCUCUCUCUCUCUCUCUCUCUCUCUCU